Molecule: non-coding RNA, 23 nt
Filed under: Gallus gallus (chicken)
Lineage: Eukaryota; Metazoa; Chordata; Aves; Galliformes; Phasianidae
Also listed under: 1 other name
Source: RNAcentral
AGCUCCCUCGCUGCGAUCUAUUG